AUUGAACGCUGGCGGCAUGCCUUACACAUGCAAGUCGAACGGCAGCGGGCCUUCGGGUGCCGGCGAGUGGCGAACGGUGAGUAAUGCAUCGGAACGUGCCAUUGAGUGGGGGAUAACGUAGCGAAAGUUGCGCUAAUACCGCAUAUUCUGUGAGCAGGAAAGCAGGGGACCGCAAGGCCUUGCGCUCUUUGAGCGGCCGAUGUCAGAUUAGCUAGUUGGUGAGGUAAAGGCUUACCAAGGCGACGAUCUGUAGCGGGUCUGAGAGGAUGAUCCGCCACACUGGAACUGAGACACGGUCCAGACUCCUACGGGAGGCAGCAGUGGGAAUUUUGGACAAUGGGGGCAACCCUGAUCCAGCCAUGCCGCGUGAGUGAAG
This 376-nucleotide ribosomal RNA is filed under the name uncultured bacterium. Its description in RNAcentral is "bacterial SSU rRNA". It matches the Rfam family "Bacterial small subunit ribosomal RNA", at positions 30 to 410 of the family's 1533-position model. The record is from RNAcentral.